This 496-nucleotide ribosomal RNA is filed under the name uncultured bacterium. RNAcentral describes it as "partial 16S ribosomal RNA". It matches the Rfam family "Bacterial small subunit ribosomal RNA", at positions 29 to 507 of the family's 1533-position model. The record is from RNAcentral.
AUGCACGCUGGCGGCGUGCCUAAUACAUGCCAGUCGAGCGAACAGACGAGGAGCUUGCUCCUCUGACGUUAGCGGCGGACGGGUGAGUAACACGUGGAUAACCUACCUAUAAGACUGGGAUAACUUCGGGAAACCGGAGCUAAUACCGGAUAAUAUAUUGAACCGCAUGGUUCAAUAGUGAAAGACGGUUUUGCUGUCACUUAUAGAUGGAUCCGCGCCGCAUUAGCUAGUUGGUAAGGUAACGGCUUACCAAGGCAACGAUGCGUAGCCGACCUGAGAGGGUGAUCGGCCACACUGGAACUGAGACACGGUCCAGACUCCUACGGGAGGCAGCAGUAGGGAAUCUUCCGCAAAGGGCGAAAGCCUGACGGAGCAACGCCGCGUGAGUGAUGAAGGUCUUCGGAUCGUAAAACUCUGUUAUUAGGGAAGAACAAAUGUGUAAGUAACUAUGCACGUCUUGACGGUACCUAAUCAGAAAGCCACGGCUAACUACGUG